Molecule: transfer RNA, 90 nt
Filed under: Pseudomonadota bacterium
Lineage: Bacteria; Pseudomonadati; Pseudomonadota
Also listed under: 3 other names
Description: tRNA-Ser
Rfam family: tRNA
About the family: Transfer RNA (tRNA) molecules are approximately 80 nucleotides in length. Their secondary structure includes four short double-helical elements and three loops (D, anti-codon, and T loops). Further hydrogen bonds mediate the characteristic L-shaped molecular structure. tRNAs have two regions of fundamental functional importance: the anti-codon, which is responsible for specific mRNA codon recognition, and the 3' end, to which the tRNAs corresponding amino acid is attached (by aminoacyl-tRNA synthetases). tRNAs cope with the degeneracy of the genetic code in two manners: having more than one tRNA (with a specific anti-codon) for a particular amino acid; and 'wobble' base-pairing, i.e. permitting non-standard base-pairing at the 3rd anti-codon position.
Source: RNAcentral
GGAGGGAUGGCCGAGAGGCUUAAGGCAACGCUUUGCUAAAGCGUCGAACUGGUUAUACCGGUUCCGUGGGUUCGAAUCCCACUCCCUCCG